GAUGAACGCUGGCGGCGUGCCUAAUACAUGCAAGUCGAGCGAACAGACGAGGAGCUUGCUCCUCUGACGUUAGCGGCGGACGGGUGAGUAACACGUGGAUAACCUACCUAUAAGACUGGGAUAACUUCGGGAAACCGGAGCUAAUACCGGAUAAUAUAUUGAACCGCAUGGUUCAAUAGUGAAAGACGGUUUUGCUGUCACUUAUAGAUGGAUCCGCGCCGCAUUAGCUAGUUGGUAAGGUAACGGCCUACCAAGGCAACGAUGCGUAGCCGGCCUGAGAGGGUGAUCGGCCACACAGGAACUGACACACGGUCCAGACUCCUACGUGAGGCAGCAGUAGGGAAUCUUCCGCAAUGGGCGAAAGCCUGACGGAGCAACGCCGCGUGAGUGAUGAAGGUCUUCGGAUCGUAAAACUCUGUUAUUAGGGAAGAACAAAUGUGUAAGUAACUAUGCACGUCUUGACGGUACCUAAUCAGAAAGCCACGGCUAACUACGU
Molecule: ribosomal RNA, 496 nt
Filed under: uncultured bacterium
Lineage: Bacteria
Description: partial 16S ribosomal RNA
Rfam family: Bacterial small subunit ribosomal RNA
Source: RNAcentral